This 504-nucleotide ribosomal RNA is filed under the name uncultured bacterium. RNAcentral describes it as "bacterial SSU rRNA". It matches the Rfam family "Bacterial small subunit ribosomal RNA", at positions 26 to 507 of the family's 1533-position model. The record is from RNAcentral.
GUCGGCUACGAGGACGAACGCUGGCGGCGUGCUUAACACAUGCAAGUGGAGCGACGAACCGGGGCUUGCCCGGGGCAGAGCCGCGAACGGGUGAGUAACACGUGGGUAACCUGCCUCAAUGAUUGGGACAACCCGGGGAAACUCGGGCUAAUACCAAAUGUGUUCACUCCUUUUAAGGGGAGUGAGGAAAGGAAGCUUCGGCCUCCGCAUUGAGAUGGGCCCGCGGCCCAUUAGCUUGUUGGUGAGGUAACGGCUCACCAAGGCUUCGAUGGGUAGCUGGUCUGAGAGGACGAUCAGCCGCACUGGGACUGAGACACGGCCCAGACUCCUACGGGAGGCAGCAGGUGGGGAAUCUUGCACAAUGCGCGAAAGCGUGAUGCAGCAACGCCGCGUGGGGAAGACGGCCUUCGGGUUGUAAACCCCUUUCAGUUGGGACGAAGCUUCGCCGGUGAAUAGCCGGUUGGAGUGACGGUACCUUCAGAAGAAGCCCCGGCUAACUACGUG